CCUACGGGGGGCUGCAGUCAAGAAACUUCCGCAAUGCACGAAAGUGUGACGGAGCGACGCCGCGUGAUGGAUGAAGCCCCUUGGGGUGUAAACAUCUUUUAUGAAUGAAGAAAUUUUUGACAUUAGUUCAUGAAUAAGAGGCUCCUAACUCUGUGCCAGCAGGAGCGGUAAUACAGAGGCCUCGAGCGUUAUCCGGAAUUAUUGGGCGUAAAGGGUGCGUAGGUGGUUAUAUUAGUCGAAUGUCAAAGACCCGGGCUCAACCUGGGGGAGGCAUU
Molecule: ribosomal RNA, 275 nt
Filed under: uncultured bacterium
Lineage: Bacteria
Description: partial 16S ribosomal RNA
Rfam family: Bacterial small subunit ribosomal RNA
Source: RNAcentral